CGGAGCUCGUAUCCGUCAUUUGCUGUGGGUGCAGAUGCUUUGGUAUGGAGAGUCUUCAAAUAUGAGAUAAUCUCUACAAGGCAAGGGUCUGCUUGGAAGGAGGCUGCGGUGCCACCAUAUCUUCGGCAAGGUGAUUCCCUUGCGCCCCUGUUUUUUGCUUGCACAGCCCUUGCCAUUCGGCAAAGGUGGCCUUCGUGAAGAGUGUGAACUCG
This 212-nucleotide long non-coding RNA is filed under the name Prunus persica (peach). Its description in RNAcentral is "long non-coding RNA (PPER_LNC008042)". Lineage: Eukaryota; Viridiplantae; Streptophyta; Magnoliopsida; Rosales; Rosaceae. The record is from RNAcentral.